This 326-nucleotide unclassified non-coding RNA is filed under the name uncultured fungus. RNAcentral's name for it is "partial contains 5.8S rRNA and ITS2". The stretch from base 1 to 52 matches the Rfam family "5.8S ribosomal RNA", at positions 103 to 154 of the family's 154-position model. Lineage: Eukaryota; Fungi. The record is from RNAcentral.
AACGCAAAUUGCGCUCUUGGCUUCGGCCAAGAGCAUGUCUGCCUGAGCGUCGGGGUAACACUCACAUAUUCACUGCAACCAGAGUUCACAUCUGGAUCUGGCUGUCUCGGUUUAUUUUAAUUAAUAACCGGGUCAGCUGAAGUGCAGAUGUCAAGGCAUGGACCGUUAAAUCGGGCCUCUACUGGGUAGGCAACUUGUUUGCUGUAUUUCUUUAGUAGAUGUCUUGGGUACCGGCUUUGGCACGACGCAGGUGUAUCUGUUCAUACAGGCCCCACUAUCACUCAUUUAUCGACCUGAGCUCAGGAAAGAUUACCCGCUGAACUUAA